AGUAAAAUGGUCGAGUAGGCAUUAGACUGUAAAUCUAAAGACGGGGGUAAAAGCCCCCUUUUACUA
RNAcentral lists this transfer RNA (66 nucleotides) under Phocoena sinus (vaquita). It matches the Rfam family "tRNA". Rfam says of the family: Transfer RNA (tRNA) molecules are approximately 80 nucleotides in length. The record is from Rfam by way of RNAcentral. Lineage: Eukaryota; Metazoa; Chordata; Mammalia; Artiodactyla; Phocoenidae.